CCUACGGGAGGCAGCAGUGAGGAAUAUUGGUCAAUGGGCGCGAGCCUGAACCAGCCAAGUCGCGUUAGGGAAGACGGUCCUAUGGAUUGUCAACCUCUUUUGUCGGGGAGCAAACGACGCCACGCGUGGCGUUCCGAGAGUACCCGAAGAAAAAGCAUCGGCUAACUCCUUGCCAGCAGCCGCGGUACUACGGGGGAUGCGAGCGUUAUCCGGAUUUAUUGGGUUUAAAGGGUGAGCAGGCGGAAGAUCAAGUCAGCGGUAAAAUUGAGAGGCGCAACCUCUUCGAGCCGUUGAAACUGGUUUUCUUGAGUGAGCGAGAAGUAUGCGGAAUGCGUGGUGUAGCGGUGAAAUGCAUAGAUAUCGCGCAGAACCCCGAUUGCGAAGGCAGCGUACCGGCUCCACACUGACGCUGAGGCACGAAAGCGUGGGUAUCGAACAGGAUUAGAUACCCGAGUAGUC
This 459-nucleotide ribosomal RNA is filed under the name uncultured bacterium. RNAcentral describes it as "partial 16S ribosomal RNA". It matches the Rfam family "Bacterial small subunit ribosomal RNA", at positions 338 to 795 of the family's 1533-position model. The record is from RNAcentral.